AACGAACGCUGGCGGCAUGCCUAACACAUGCAAGUCGAACGAGAUCCUUCGGGGUCUAGUGGCGCACGGGUGCGUAACGCGUGGGAAUCUGCCCUUAGGUUCGGAAUAACAGUUAGAAAUGACUGCUAAUACCGGAUGAUGACGUUAAGUCCAAAGAUUUAUCGCCUGAGGAUGAGCCCGCGUAGGAUUAGCUAGUUGGUGUGGUAAAGGCGCACCAAGGCGACGAUCCUUAGCUGGUCUGAGAGGAUGAUCAGCCACACUGGGACUGAGACACGGCCCAGACUCCUACGGGAGGCAGCAGUGGGGAAUAUUGGACAAUGGGCGCAAGCCUGAUCCAGCAAUGCCGCGUGAGUGAUGAAGGCCUUAGGGUUGUAAAGCUCUUUUAACCGGGAUGAUAAUGACAGUACCGGGAGAAUAAGCCCCGGCUAACUCCGUG
This 436-nucleotide ribosomal RNA is filed under the name uncultured bacterium. Its description in RNAcentral is "partial 16S ribosomal RNA". It matches the Rfam family "Bacterial small subunit ribosomal RNA", at positions 29 to 507 of the family's 1533-position model. The record is from RNAcentral.